RNAcentral lists this ribosomal RNA (253 nucleotides) under uncultured bacterium. RNAcentral's name for it is "partial 16S ribosomal RNA". It matches the Rfam family "Bacterial small subunit ribosomal RNA", at positions 524 to 776 of the family's 1533-position model. The record is from RNAcentral.
UACGUAGGGGGCUAGCGUUGUCCGGAAUCAUUGGGCGUAAAGAGCGUGUAGGCGGUCCGGUAAGUCCGCUGUGAAAGUCGGGGGCUCAACCCUCGAAUGCCGGUGGAUACUGUCGGGCUAGAGUGCGGUAGGGGAGAUUGGAAUUCCUGGUGUAGCGGUGGAAUGCGCAGAUGUCAGGAGGAACACCAAUGGCGAAGGCAGAUCUCUGGGCCGUAACUGACGCUGAGGAGCGAAAGCAUGGGGAGCGAACAGG